GGCGCACGGGUGAGUAACACGUAGGUAAUCUACCUUUGAGUGGGGAAUAACGUUCGGAAACGAACGCUAAUACCGCAUAAUGCAGCGGCACCGCAAGGUGACAGUUGUUAAAGGAGCAAUCCGCUUAAAGAGGAGCCUGCGGCAGAUUAGCUAGUUGGUAAGGUAAUGGCUUACCAAGGCUACGAUCUGUAACCGACCUGAGAGGGUGGUCGGUCACACUGACACUGAAUAACGGGUCAGACUCCUACGGGAGGCAGCAGUCGGGAAUUUUGGGCAAUGGGCGAAAGCCUGACCCAGCAACGCCGCGUGAAGGAUGAAGUAUUUCGGUAUGUAAACUUCGAAAGAAUGGGAAGAAUCAAUGACGGUACCAUUUAUAAGGUCCGGCUAACUACGUGCCAGCAGCCGCGGUAAUACGUAGGGACCAAGCGUUGUUCGGAUUUACUGGGCGUAAAGGGCGCGUAGGCGGCGUGUUAAGUCAGCUGUGAAAUCUCCGAGCUUAACUCGGAACGGUCAGCUGAUACUGAUGUGCUAGAGUGCAGAAGGGGCAAUCGGAAUUCUUGGUGUAGCGGUGAAAUGCGUAGAUAUCAAGAGGAACACCUGAGGUGAAGACGGGUUGCUGGGCUGACACUGACGCUGAGGCGCGAAAGCUAGGGUAGCAAACGGGAUUAGAUACCCCGGUAGUCCUAGCCCUAAACGAUGAAUACUUGGUGUCUGGAGUAAUUUAAUUCUCCGGGUGCCGUCGCUAACGUUUUAAGUAUUCCGCCUGGGGAGUACGCACGCAAGUGUGAAACUCAAAGGAAUUGACGGGGACCCGCACAAG
Molecule: ribosomal RNA, 820 nt
Filed under: uncultured bacterium
Lineage: Bacteria
Description: bacterial SSU rRNA
Rfam family: Bacterial small subunit ribosomal RNA
Source: RNAcentral